GAUGAACGCUAGCGGCAGGCCUAACACAUGCAAGUCGAGGGAGAAGCCCUUCGGGGCAGAAACCGGCGCACGGGUGCGUAACGCGUAUGCAACCUACCUUUCACAGGGGGAUAGCCCGAAGAAAUUUGGAUUAAUACCCCAUAAUAUUAUUGGAUGGCAUCAUUUGAUAAUUAAAACUGAGCUGGUGAAAGAUGGGCAUGCGUCCUAUUAGCUAGUUGGAGUGGUAACGGCACCCCAAGGCUACGAUAGGUAGGGGUCCUGAGAGGGAGAUCCCCCACACUGGUACUGAGACAGGGACCAGACUCCUACGGGAGGCAGCAGUGAGGAAUAUUGGUCAAUGGUCGGAAGACUGAACCAGCCAUGCCGCGUGCAGGAAGAAUGCCUUAUGGGUUGUAAACUGCUUUUAUAUGGGAAGAAUAAGGAGUACGUGUACUUUGA
RNAcentral lists this ribosomal RNA (438 nucleotides) under Capnocytophaga gingivalis. RNAcentral's name for it is "bacterial SSU rRNA". It matches the Rfam family "Bacterial small subunit ribosomal RNA", at positions 28 to 472 of the family's 1533-position model. The record is from RNAcentral. Lineage: Bacteria; Pseudomonadati; Bacteroidota; Flavobacteriia; Flavobacteriales; Flavobacteriaceae.